Long non-coding RNA from Passer domesticus (house sparrow), 477 nucleotides. RefSeq lists it as uncharacterized. The record is from RefSeq and is a predicted model, not a curated record. Lineage: Eukaryota; Metazoa; Chordata; Aves; Passeriformes; Passeridae. The transcript has 2 exons.
GAAUCCUUGAAGGCAACAAGGACAAUAUUGUGAUUGUGAUCUCACAGUCCUGCCUCCUUAAGGCUGGAACAUUUAUCAGUGGAAUAUUCUUAGACCAGCUUCCUCUAUGUAGUGUGCUUAAUUCCUUUACUCAUGUCCCUCAAGAGAGUCUGGACCAGGGCACUCUAUACUGCAGGAAGCAGUAAGAGGGUUUAGCCAUGUAAGACAGCUGUGAUUUUUAUUAUAGGUAAGUGGACCUAACACUCAUGAAAUGUGUCAGAUUUACAGUGCUGGAAAUGAGAAGCUUUCAGUUUAAUGUAGAGAAGAGCUGCAGUGAAGGAAGAGGCAGAAAGAACAUUUUGAUCCCUGAGGAAUAUAUCUCUGCUUCUUACUUUUGUCUCUGGAGGGAGCAGCUCAGCACCGGGGUGGCCUCCCCUCUACUGCUUCAGUCACCAGAGCAGACUGAAUUCCAUUGGAUUUUUACAACUAUGAGAAGAA